RNAcentral lists this ribosomal RNA (2054 nucleotides) under Vibrio coralliilyticus ATCC BAA-450. RNAcentral's name for it is "bacterial LSU rRNA". It matches the Rfam family "Bacterial large subunit ribosomal RNA", at positions 1 to 2095 of the family's 2925-position model. The record is from RNAcentral. Lineage: Bacteria; Pseudomonadati; Pseudomonadota; Gammaproteobacteria; Vibrionales; Vibrionaceae.
GGUUAAGUGACUAAGCGUACACGGUGGAUGCCUUGGCAGUCAGAGGCGAUGAAGGACGUAUUAACUUGCGAUAAGCCCAGAUUAGACAGUAAAAGUCAUUUGAGUCUGGGAUUUCCGAAUGGGGAAACCCACCUGCAUAAGCAGGUAUCAUUAUCUGAAUACAUAGGGUAAUGAGGCGAACCGGGGGAACUGAAACAUCUAAGUACCCCGAGGAAAAGAAAUCAACCGAGAUUCCGAAAGUAGCGGCGAGCGAAAUUGGAUUAGCCCUUAAGCCUUUAAUGCGUCAGGUGAAAGUUCUGGAAAGUUCUGCGAUACAGGGUGAUAGCCCCGUAACCGACAGCGCAUUUUAGGUGAAAUCGAGUAGGGCGGGACACGUGAUAUCCUGUCUGAAUAUGGGGGGACCAUCCUCCAAGGCUAAAUACUACUGACUGACCGAUAGUGAACCAGUACCGUGAGGGAAAGGCGAAAAGAACCCCUGUGAGGGGAGUGAAAUAGAACCUGAAACCGUGUACGUACAAGCAGUAGGAGCACCUUCGUGGUGUGACUGCGUACCUUUUGUAUAAUGGGUCAGCGACUUAUAUUCAGUAGCAAGGUUAACCAUCUAGGGGAGCCGUAGAGAAAUCGAGUCUUAACUGGGCGUCGAGUUGCUGGAUAUAGACCCGAAACCAGGUGAUCUAGCCAUGGGCAGGUUGAAGGUUGAGUAACAUCAACUGGAGGACCGAACCGACUAAUGUUGAAAAAUUAGCGGAUGACUUGUGGCUAGGGGUGAAAGGCCAAUCAAACCUGGAGAUAGCUGGUUCUCCCCGAAAUCUAUUUAGGUAGAGCCUCGGACGAAUACUACUGGGGGUAGAGCACUGUUAAGGCUAGGGGGUCAUCCCGACUUACCAACCCUUUGCAAACUCCGAAUACCAGUAAGUACUAUCCGGGAGACACACGGCGGGUGCUAACGUCCGUCGUGGAGAGGGAAACAACCCAGACCGCCAGCUAAGGUCCCAAAUUACAGCUAAGUGGGAAACGAUGUGGGAAGGCUUAGACAGCUAGGAUGUUGGCUUAGAAGCAGCCAUCAUUUAAAGAAAGCGUAAUAGCUCACUAGUCGAGUCGGCCUGCGCGGAAGAUGUAACGGGGCUAAGCUGUAAACCGAAGCUGCGGCAAUGCAUUUUAUGUAUUGGGUAGGGGAGCGUUCUGUAAGCCGUUGAAGGUGAGUUGUAAAGCUUGCUGGAGGUAUCAGAAGUGCGAAUGCUGACAUGAGUAACGAUAAAGGGGGUGAAAAACCUCCUCGCCGGAAGACCAAGGGUUCCUGUCCAACGUUAAUCGGGGCAGGGUAAGUCGACCCCUAAGGCGAGGCCGAAAGGCGUAGUCGAUGGGAAACGGGUUAAUAUUCCCGUACUUCUUACAAUUGCGAUGGGGGGACGGAGAAGGCUAGGUGGGCCUGGCGACGGUUGUCCAGGUUCAAGUGCGUAGGCUUGAGAGUUAGGUAAAUCCGGCUCUCUCUAAGGCUGAGACACGACGUCGAGCACCUACGGGUGUGAAGUCAUUGAUGCCAUGCUUCCAGGAAAAGCCUCUAAGCUUCAGAUUGUAAGGAAUCGUACCCCAAACCGACACAGGUGGUCGGGUAGAGAAUACCAAGGCGCUUGAGAGAACUCGGGUGAAGGAACUAGGCAAAAUGGUACCGUAACUUCGGGAGAAGGUACGCUCCUGUCGGUGAAGUCCCUUGCGGAUGGAGCUAACGGGAGUCGCAGAUACCAGGUGGCUGCAACUGUUUAUUAAAAACACAGCACUGUGCAAAAUCGUAAGAUGACGUAUACGGUGUGACGCCUGCCCGGUGCCGGAAGGUUAAUUGAUGGGGUUAGACGUAAGUCGAAGCUCUUGAUCGAAGCCCCGGUAAACGGCGGCCGUAACUAUAACGGUCCUAAGGUAGCGAAAUUCCUUGUCGGGUAAGUUCCGACCUGCACGAAUGGCGUAAUGAUGGCCACGCUGUCUCCACCCGAGACUCAGUGAAAUUGAAAUCGCUGUGAAGAUGCAGUGUACCCGCGGCUAGACGGAAAGACCCCGUG